This 394-nucleotide ribosomal RNA is filed under the name uncultured bacterium. Its description in RNAcentral is "bacterial SSU rRNA". It matches the Rfam family "Bacterial small subunit ribosomal RNA", at positions 505 to 898 of the family's 1533-position model. The record is from RNAcentral.
GUGCCAGCCGCCGCGGUACUACGGAGGGUCCGAGCGUUAGUCGGAAUUACUGGGCGUAAAGCGUGCGCAGGCGGUUUGUUAAGCCAGAUGUGAAAUCCCCGGGCUCAACCUGGGAAUUGCAUUUGGAACUGGCGAACUAGAGUCUUGUAGAGGGGGGUAGAAUUCCAGGUGUAGCGGUGAAAUGCGUAGAUAUCUGGAGGAAUACCGGUGGCGAAGGCGGCCCCCUGGACAAAGACUGACGCUCAUGCACGAAAGCGUGGGGAGCAAACAGGAUUAGAUACCCUGGUAGUCCACGCCGUAAACGAUGUCUACUCGGAGUUUGGUGACUUAGUCACUGGGCUCCCAAGCUAACGCAUUAAGUAGACCGCCUGGGGAGUACGGCCGCAAGGUUAAA